CCAGACUCCUACGGGAGGCAGCAGUGAGGAAUAUUGGUCAAUGGCCGAGAGGCUGAACCAGCCAAGUCGCGUGAGGGAAGACGGCCCUACGGGUUGUAAACCUCUUUUGUCGGGGAGCAAAGCAAGUCACGUGUGACUCAUUGAGAGUACCCGAAGAAAAAGCAUCGGCUAACUCCGUGCCAGCAGCCGCGGUAAUACGGAGGAUGCGAGCGUUAUCCGGAUUUAUUGGGUUUAAAGGGUGCGCAGGCGGAGGUGCAAGUCAGCGGUCAAAUUGCGGGGCUCAACCCCGUACUGCCGUUGAAACUGGCGUUCUUGAGUGGGCGAGAAGUAUGCGGAAUGCGUGGUGUAGCGGUGAAAUGCAUAGAUAUCACGAAGAACCCCGAUUGCGAAGGCAGCUUACUAAACUGUGACUGACAUUGAUGCUCGAAAGUGUGGGUAUCAAACAGGAUUAGAUACCCCCGUAUA
This 465-nucleotide ribosomal RNA is filed under the name uncultured bacterium. Its description in RNAcentral is "bacterial SSU rRNA". It matches the Rfam family "Bacterial small subunit ribosomal RNA", at positions 331 to 794 of the family's 1533-position model. The record is from RNAcentral.